UGGGGAANAUUGGACAAUGGACCAAGAGUCUGAUCCAGCGAUUCUGUGUGCACGAUGAAGUUUUUCGGAAUGUAAAGUGCUUUCAGUUGGGAAGAAAAAAAUGACGGUACCAACAGAAGAAGUGACGGCUAAAUACGUGCCAGCAGCCGCGGUAAUACGUAUGUCACAAGCGUUAUCCGGAUUUAUUGGGCGUAAAGCGCGUCUAGGUGGUUAUGUAAGUCUGAUGUGAAAAUGCAGGGCUCAACUCUGUAUUGCGUUGGAAACUGUGUAACUAGAGUACUGGAGAGGUAAGCGGAACUACAAGUGUAGAGGUGAAAUUCGUAGAUAUUUGUAGGAAUGCCGAUGGGGAAGCCAGCUUACUGGACAGAUACUGACGCUGAAGCGCGAAAGCGUGGGUAGCAAACAGGAUUAGAUACCCUGGUAGUCCACGCCGUAAACGAUGAUUACUAGGUGUUGGGGGUCGAACCUCAGCGCCCAAGCAAACGCGAUAAGUAAUCCGCCUGGGGAGUACGUACGCNAAGUAUG
This 525-nucleotide ribosomal RNA is filed under the name uncultured bacterium. RNAcentral's name for it is "bacterial SSU rRNA". It matches the Rfam family "Bacterial small subunit ribosomal RNA", at positions 355 to 896 of the family's 1533-position model. The record is from RNAcentral.